Molecule: ribosomal RNA, 2924 nt
Filed under: Escherichia coli 97.0259
Lineage: Bacteria; Pseudomonadati; Pseudomonadota; Gammaproteobacteria; Enterobacterales; Enterobacteriaceae
Description: bacterial LSU rRNA
Rfam family: Bacterial large subunit ribosomal RNA
Source: RNAcentral
GAAACAUCUUCGGGUUGUGAGGUUAAGCGACUAAGCGUACACGGUGGAUGCCCUGGCAGUCAGAGGCGAUGAAGGACGUGCUAAUCUGCGAUAAGCGUCGGUAAGGUGAUAUGAACCGUUAUAACCGGCGAUUUCCGAAUGGGGAAACCCAGUGUGAUUCGUCACACUAUCAUUAACUGAAUCCAUAGGUUAAUGAGGCGAACCGGGGGAACUGAAACAUCUAAGUACCCCGAGGAAAAGAAAUCAACCGAGAUUCCCCCAGUAGCGGCGAGCGAACGGGGAGCAGCCCAGAGCCUGAAUCAGUGUGUGUGUUAGUGGAAGCGUCUGGAAAGGCGCGCGAUACAGGGUGACAGCCCCGUACACAAAAAUGCACAUACUGUGAGCUCGAUGAGUAGGGCGGGACACGUGGUAUCCUGUCUGAAUAUGGGGGGACCAUCCUCCAAGGCUAAAUACUCCUGACUGACCGAUAGUGAACCAGUACCGUGAGGGAAAGGCGAAAAGAACCCCGGCGAGGGGAGUGAAAAAGAACCUGAAACCGUGUACGUACAAGCAGUGGGAGCCUCUUUAUGGGGUGACUGCGUACCUUUUGUAUAAUGGGUCAGCGACUUAUAUUCUGUAGCAAGGUUAACCGAAUAGGGGAGCCGAAGGGAAACCGAGUCUUAACUGGGCGUUAAGUUGCAGGGUAUAGACCCGAAACCCGGUGAUCUAGCCAUGGGCAGGUUGAAGGUUGGGUAACACUAACUGGAGGACCGAACCGACUAAUGUUGAAAAAUUAGCGGAUGACUUGUGGCUGGGGGUGAAAGGCCAAUCAAACCGGGAGAUAGCUGGUUCUCCCCGAAAGCUAUUUAGGUAGCGCCUCGUGAAUUCAUCUCCGGGGGUAGAGCACUGUUUCGGCAAGGGGGUCAUCCCGACUUACCAACCCGAUGCAAACUGCGAAUACCGGAGAAUGUUAUCACGGGAGACACACGGCGGGUGCUAACGUCCGUCGUGAAGAGGGAAACAACCCAGACCGCCAGCUAAGGUCCCAAAGUCAUGGUUAAGUGGGAAACGAUGUGGGAAGGCCCAGACAGCCAGGAUGUUGGCUUAGAAGCAGCCAUCAUUUAAAGAAAGCGUAAUAGCUCACUGGUCGAGUCGGCCUGCGCGGAAGAUGUAACGGGGCUAAACCAUGCACCGAAGCUGCGGCAGCGACACUAUGUGUUGUUGGGUAGGGGAGCGUUCUGUAAGCCUGUGAAGGUGUGCUGUGAGGUAUGCUGGAGGUAUCAGAAGUGCGAAUGCUGACAUAAGUAACGAUAAAGCGGGUGAAAAGCCCGCUCGCCGGAAGACCAAGGGUUCCUGUCCAACGUUAAUCGGGGCAGGGUGAGUCGACCCCUAAGGCGAGGCCGAAAGGCGUAGUCGAUGGGAAACAGGUUAAUAUUCCUGUACUUGGUGUUACUGCGAAGGGGGGACGGAGAAGGCUAUGUUGGCCGGGCGACGGUUGUCCCGGUUUAAGCGUGUAGGCUGGUUUUCCAGGCAAAUCCGGAAAAUCAAGGCUGAGGCGUGAUGACGAGGCACUACGGUGCUGAAGCAACAAAUGCCCUGCUUCCAGGAAAAGCCUCUAAGCAUCAGGUAACAUCAAAUCGUACCCCAAACCGACACAGGUGGUCAGGUAGAGAAUACCAAGGCGCUUGAGAGAACUCGGGUGAAGGAACUAGGCAAAAUGGUGCCGUAACUUCGGGAGAAGGCACGCUGAUAUGUAGGUGAAGUCCCUUGCGGAUGGAGCUGAAAUCAGUCGAAGAUACCAGCUGGCUGCAACUGUUUAUUAAAAACACAGCACUGUGCAAACACGAAAGUGGACGUAUACGGUGUGACGCCUGCCCGGUGCCGGAAGGUUAAUUGAUGGGGUUAGCGGUAACGCGAAGCUCUUGAUCGAAGCCCCGGUAAACGGCGGCCGUAACUAUAACGGUCCUAAGGUAGCGAAAUUCCUUGUCGGGUAAGUUCCGACCUGCACGAAUGGCGUAAUGAUGGCCAGGCUGUCUCCACCCGAGACUCAGUGAAAUUGAACUCGCUGUGAAGAUGCAGUGUACCCGCGGCAAGACGGAAAGACCCCGUGAACCUUUACUAUAGCUUGACACUGAACAUUGAGCCUUGAUGUGUAGGAUAGGUGGGAGGCUUUGAAGUGUGGACGCCAGUCUGCAUGGAGCCGACCUUGAAAUACCACCCUUUAAUGUUUGAUGUUCUAACGUUGGCCCCUAAUCGGGGUUGCGGACAGUGUCUGGUGGGUAGUUUGACUGGGGCGGUCUCCUCCUAAAGAGUAACGGAGGAGCACGAAGGUUGGCUAAUCCUGGUCGGACAUCAGGAGGUUAGUGCAAUGGCAUAAGCCAGCUUGACUGCGAGCGUGACGGCGCGAGCAGGUGCGAAAGCAGGUCAUAGUGAUCCGGUGGUUCUGAAUGGAAGGGCCAUCGCUCAACGGAUAAAAGGUACUCCGGGGAUAACAGGCUGAUACCGCCCAAGAGUUCAUAUCGACGGCGGUGUUUGGCACCUCGAUGUCGGCUCAUCACAUCCUGGGGCUGAAGUAGGUCCCAAGGGUAUGGCUGUUCGCCAUUUAAAGUGGUACGCGAGCUGGGUUUAGAACGUCGUGAGACAGUUCGGUCCCUAUCUGCCGUGGGCGCUGGAGAACUGAGGGGGGCUGCUCCUAGUACGAGAGGACCGGAGUGGACGCAUCACUGGUGUUCGGGUUGUCAUGCCAAUGGCACUGCCCGGUAGCUAAAUGCGGAAGAGAUAAGUGCUGAAAGCAUCUAAGCACGAAACUUGCCCCGAGAUGAGUUCUCCCUGACCCUUUAAGGGUCCUGAAGGAACGUUGAAGACGACGACGUUGAUAGGCCGGGUGUGUAAGCGCAGCGAUGCGUUGAGCUAACCGGUACUAAUGAACCGUGAGGCUUAACCUU